GUCAAACCCUCUUCUUCAACACCACAACACCUAAGAACCCACAACCUCUCUCUCAUUGGCCAAUUAAAUCCCCCAGUUUACAUUCGCAUCAUUCUCUUUUAUUCAGCAACUAGUGAAAAUUCCUCCAUAAAAUCUCAGCACGUGAAGACGUCCUUCUCAGAGACAUUAACCCACUUCUAUCCUCUAGCCGGACGAAUCAAAAGUAGCUUUUCUAUUGCGGAUGAAGGUGCUUCAUAUAUUCAAGCUUAGGUAGCUGGAAACGUGUCCAUGAUACCGCCCAACACGCGUUGACGCUGUGGCUGCACUCAUUUAGGGGGCUGUGAUGGCUGCAACCGGAGAAGAAUAUGGAGCAAUAAUUCCUAUGGAUUUACAAAGAAGAAUGGAUCCGCCAUUGCCAAAAAAAAUCUAUUGGAAACAUCUCUCAAUUGGCAAUGGUAAAUUGUGAGAAUACUCUAGACUUAGACAACAAUGACUUAGCAGGAAAAAUUCACAAGUCAAUGAGAAAUGUGAACAAUGAGUAUGUGGGAAGAAAAAGGAGAUGUUAAUUUGGUGUAGACAUCCAUUCUACGAGACCCAUUUUGGGUGGGGAAAGCCAUCUGGGUAAGCCCUGGAGCGACCGUUAAUAACAUUGCCACGUUUAUAAAUACAAAGCAUGGCGAGGGAAUAGAAGCGUGGAUAGGAUUGUGCAAGGAAGACAUGGCUUUUUUAUUUAUCAGCAUAUUCCUUUAAUAAUACAUUCUCUAAAAUCAAUCCCCCUU
This 758-nucleotide unclassified non-coding RNA is filed under the name Hevea brasiliensis (rubber tree). Lineage: Eukaryota; Viridiplantae; Streptophyta; Magnoliopsida; Malpighiales; Euphorbiaceae. The record is from RNAcentral.